This 125-nucleotide small RNA is filed under the name Marmota monax (woodchuck). The record is from RNAcentral. Lineage: Eukaryota; Metazoa; Chordata; Mammalia; Rodentia; Sciuridae.
GCUGGGCAUGGUGGUGCAUGCCUGUAAUUCCAGUGUCUUGGGAGGCUGAGGCAGGAGGAUCUCGAGUUCAAAGCCAGCCUCAGCAAAAGUGAGGUGCCAAGCAACUCAGUGAGACCCUGUUUCUA